CCCUUAGAUGUCCUGAACCGCACGCGUGUUACACUGAUGCAUUCAACGAGCUUUACCUUGGCCGAGAGGCCUGGGAAAUCUUUUUAGCAUGCAUCGUGAUAGGGAUUGAUUAUUGCAAUUAUUAAUCAUGAACGAGGAAUUCCUAGUAAACGCAUUUCAUCAAAAUGCAUUGAUUACGUCCCUGCCCUUUGUACACACCGCCCGUCGCACCUACCGAUUGAGCGGUCCGGUGAAGUCUCGAGAUUGUGGCAAUCUCCUUUAUUGGAGUUUGACUGCGAGAACUUGCCUAAACCUUAUCACUUAGAGGAAGGUGAAGUCGUAACA
Molecule: ribosomal RNA, 324 nt
Filed under: uncultured eukaryote
Lineage: Eukaryota
Description: partial 18S ribosomal RNA
Rfam family: Eukaryotic small subunit ribosomal RNA
Source: RNAcentral